CAUCUAGGCGGUAUAUCAAGUCAGGGGUGAAAACUUACGGCUCAACCGUGAGCUUGCCUUUGAAACUGAAAUACUGGAGUACCGGAGAGGUGGGCGGAACUACACGAGUAGAGGUGAAAUUCGUAGAUAUGUGUAGGAAUGCCGAUGAUGAAGAUAGCUCACUGGACGGCAACUGACGCUGAAGUGCGAAAGCUAGGGGAGCGAACA
This 207-nucleotide ribosomal RNA is filed under the name uncultured bacterium. RNAcentral's name for it is "partial 16S ribosomal RNA". It matches the Rfam family "Bacterial small subunit ribosomal RNA", at positions 568 to 774 of the family's 1533-position model. The record is from RNAcentral.